Molecule: long non-coding RNA, 1047 nt
Filed under: Brachypodium distachyon (stiff brome)
Lineage: Eukaryota; Viridiplantae; Streptophyta; Magnoliopsida; Poales; Poaceae
Description: long non-coding RNA (BDIS_LNC004869)
Source: RNAcentral
AUGCCUACUGGAUAAGUUGUGGGCCCCACCUGUCAGGGUUUUCUUUUUUUUCAUUGCUGAUAAGGAUAAGUUGUGCGCCCCACCAACAUAAGCAAACUCACGGUGGCUAAGGACAACUAACGGCCCACCAUCAAUUUCUCCUUUCACAUCCAGGUCCAAAAAAUGCCUCGCACAUAUUGUCGCGCGAAACAACGUGGUCUGGGUCCAUUCACAGCGAAAGGUGGCUCCUCACGGCGGAUUCACUUGAAAGGUGUCGGUCAGGAGCUAUUUUGCCGAUAAACGUAUACCCCCAAAAUUUAGAGUAGACACUUUCCUCUUUUGGUAACUUUCUAUUUUUGCUUUUUUUAAUUUUGUUAUCUUUUAUUCCUAAAACCUUCCAGCAUAUUUCAUUCUUAAAACUGAUCAUUUGAAAAAAAAAUUGAUAACCAUUGCUCUCAAAUCAAAGAUUUUACAUUUCUUCCCUUGUAUUUUUGUACAAGUAUCUACUGUACUUUCUCUACUGCGUUUCUGCAUUGGUUUUACGGUACGAUUUUUACAGCAUUUCUGUAUUUUCUUUACUUCUUAUGGUGUUUCUACACUACACAUAUUCUGUUCUCCUACUACAAAUAUUGUAUUGUGCUUCUAUAUUGGUUUCUACUACGCAUUUUCUGUUGUUCUACGCUGGUUUUUGUUGCAUUUACUACUCCUUUUCCAUAUUGGCUUCCGCUGCAAUUUUUUGUGGUACCACAUUUUCUUUAGCAUAAUACCCCACCUUAUUAACUCAUAGGAAAUGUCGGUAUACAGGCGAUAUCAGAGGUAUCAAGGAGUCACAGGCGGCGCCGUGCAGAGAGAGUAGAAGCCGCUUUUGAGAGGUUAUAGGUGUUUGAAUCUCUCUUCUCGUGGCCUAAGUGGACGCCAGCAAAAAGUUUCCCCCUCGAUCUCCUGGAAUUCUCUUGCAAUGGUACUGUCAGAGCAUAAACUAACUUGGAAGUUCUUCACAACAGACAGGCAAUCAGAGGCAACCUGAACUAAAGUUUCACCUAGGUAACCGGCCAAGGACAAAGCUUC